RNAcentral lists this transfer RNA (76 nucleotides) under Pseudomonadota bacterium. RNAcentral's name for it is "tRNA-Ala". It matches the Rfam family "tRNA". From Rfam's summary of the family: Transfer RNA (tRNA) molecules are approximately 80 nucleotides in length. Their secondary structure includes four short double-helical elements and three loops (D, anti-codon, and T loops). The record is from RNAcentral. RNAcentral also lists the same sequence under 1 other name. Lineage: Bacteria; Pseudomonadati; Pseudomonadota.
GGGGAAGUAGCUCAGCUGGGAGAGCGCCGCGUUCGCAAUGCGGAGGUCGUGGGUUCGAUCCCCAUCUUCUCCACCA